This 859-nucleotide ribosomal RNA is filed under the name uncultured bacterium. RNAcentral's name for it is "bacterial SSU rRNA". It matches the Rfam family "Bacterial small subunit ribosomal RNA", at positions 60 to 913 of the family's 1533-position model. The record is from RNAcentral.
AGUCGAGCGGAGAUGAGGUGCUUGCACCUUAUCUUAGCGGCGGACGGGUGAGUAAUGCUUAGGAAUCUGCCUAUUAGUGGGGGACAACAUUCCGAAAGGAAUGCUAAUACCGCAUACGUCCUACGGGAGAAAGCAGGGGAUCUUCGGACCUUGCGCUAAUAGAUGAGCCUAAGUCGGAUUAGCUAGUUGGUGGGGUAAAGGCCUACCAAGGCGACGAUCUGUAGCGGGUCUGAGAGGAUGAUCCGCCACACUGGGACUGAGACACGGCCCAGACUCCUACGGGAGGCAGCAGUGGGGAAUAUUGGACAAUGGGGGGAACCCUGAUCCAGCCAUGCCGCGUGUGUGAAGAAGGCCUUAUGGUUGUAAAGCACUUUAAGCGAGGAGGAGGCUACUGAGACUAAUACUCUUGGAUAGUGGACGUUACUCGCAGAGUAAGCACCGGCUAACUCUGUGCCAGCAGCCGCGGUAAUACAGAGGGUGCGAGCGUUAAUCGGAUUUACUGGGCGUAAAGCGUGCGUAGGCGGCUUUUUAAGUCGGAUGUGAAAUCCCCGAGCUUAACUUGGGAAUUGCAUUCGAUACUGGGAAGCUAAAGUAUGGGAGAGGAUGGUAGAAUUCCAGGUGUAGCGGUGAAAUGCGUAGAGAUCUGGAGGAAUACCGAUGGCGAAGGCAGCCAUCUGGCCUAAUACUGACGCUGAGGUACGAAAGCAUGGGGAGCAAACAGGAUUAGAUACCCUGGUAGUCCAUGCCGUAAACGAUGUCUACUAGCCGUUGGGGCCUUUGAGGCUUUAGUGGCGCAGCUAACGCGAUAAGUAGACCGCCUGGGGAGUACGGUCGCAAGACUAAAACUCAAAUGAAUUGA